Molecule: ribosomal RNA, 215 nt
Filed under: uncultured bacterium
Lineage: Bacteria
Description: partial 16S ribosomal RNA
Rfam family: Bacterial small subunit ribosomal RNA
Source: RNAcentral
UACGUAGGGUGCGAGCGUUGUCCGGAAUUAUUGGGCGUAAAGAGCUUGUAGGCGGUUUGUCGCGUCUGCUGUGAAAAUCCGAGGCUCAACCUCGGACUUGCAGUGGGUACGGGCAGACUAGAGUGUGGUAGGGGAGACUGGAAUUCCUGGUGUAGCGGUGAAAUGCGCAGAUAUCAGGAGGAACACCGGUGGCGAAGGCGGGUCUCUGGGCGAAC